This 244-nucleotide unclassified non-coding RNA is filed under the name uncultured Lyophyllum. RNAcentral's name for it is "sequence contains ITS1". The record is from RNAcentral. Lineage: Eukaryota; Fungi; Basidiomycota; Agaricomycetes; Agaricales; Lyophyllaceae.
UUGAUUAAAUCUGGUCAGGCUAGCUGCUGGCUUUUCGGAGUAUGUGCACGCCUGUCCAUUUUUAUUUUAACCACCUGUGCACUCCUUGUAGAUCUGAAAUUUUACUCAGGUUCACCAACCUGGUUAGAGGAAUUGCUAUAUAUCAUAGCUGUCCUUGAAUUUCAGACCUAUGUCUUUAUUAUACACCAUAAAUAUGAUAGAAUGUUUAAUGAUUAAGGCUUGAUUGCCUUUUAAUAACAUUAUA